This 82-nucleotide transfer RNA is filed under the name Treponema sp. Its description in RNAcentral is "tRNA-Tyr". It matches the Rfam family "tRNA". Rfam says of the family: Transfer RNA (tRNA) molecules are approximately 80 nucleotides in length. Lineage: Bacteria; Pseudomonadati; Spirochaetota; Spirochaetia; Treponematales; Treponemataceae. The record is from RNAcentral. RNAcentral also lists the same sequence under 1 other name.
GGGGAGGUUCCCGAGCGGUCAAAGGGGGCAGACUGUAAAUCUGUUGGCUCAGCCUUCGAAGGUCCGAAUCCUUCUCUCCCCA